Molecule: ribosomal RNA, 693 nt
Filed under: uncultured bacterium
Lineage: Bacteria
Description: bacterial SSU rRNA
Rfam family: Bacterial small subunit ribosomal RNA
Source: RNAcentral
CGCGCCGUAGCUAACGCUUUAAGUACCCCGCCUGGGGAGUACGGCCGCAAGGCUAAAACUCAAAGGAAUUGACGGGGCCCCGCACAAGCGGCGGAGCAUGCGGAUUAAUUCGAUGCAACGCGUAGAACCUUACCUGGGUUUGACAUGGAUCGGGAGUGCUCAGAGAUGGGUGUGCCUCUUUUGGGGUCGGUUCACAGGUGGUGCAUGGCUGUCGUCAGCUCGUGUCGUGAGAUGUUGGGUUAAGUCCCGCAACGAGCGCAACCCUUGUUCACUGUUGCCAGCACGUUAUGGUGGGGACUCAGUGGAGACCGCCGGGGUCAACUCGGAGGAAGGUGGGGAUGACGUCAAGUCAUCAUGCCCCUUAUGUCCAGGGCUUCACGCAUGCUACAAUGGCUGGUACAGAGAGUGGCGAGCCUGUGAGGGUGAGCGAAUCUCGGAAAGCCGGUCUCAGUUCGGAUUGGGGUCUGCAACUCGACCUCAUGAAGUCGGAGUCGCUAGUAAUCGCAGAUCAGCAACGCUGCGGUGAAUACGUUCCCGGGGCUUGUACACACCGCCCGUCAAGUCAUGAAAGUUGGUAACACCCGAAGCCGGUGGCCUAACCGUUGUGGGGGAGCCGUCGAAGGUGGGACUGGUGAUUAGGACUAAGUCGUAACAAGGUAGCCGUACCGGAAGGUGCGGCUGGAUCACCUCCUU